RNAcentral lists this ribosomal RNA (484 nucleotides) under uncultured bacterium. RNAcentral describes it as "partial 16S ribosomal RNA". It matches the Rfam family "Bacterial small subunit ribosomal RNA", at positions 28 to 507 of the family's 1533-position model. The record is from RNAcentral.
AUUGAACGCUGGCGGCAUGCUUUACACAUGCCAGUCGAACGGCAGCGCGGGCUUCGGCCUGGCGGCGAGUGGCGAACGGGUGAGUAAUGCAUCGGAACGUGCCCAGUAGUGGGGGAUAGCCCGGCGAAAGCCGGAUUAAUACCGCAUACGACCUGAGGGUGAAAGCGGGGGACCGAAAGGCCUCGCGCUAUUGGAGCGGCCGAUGUCGGAUUAGCUAGUUGGUGGGGUAAAGGCUUACCAAGGCGACGAUCCGUAGCUGGUCUGAGAGGACGACCAGCCAGACUGGGACUGAGACACGGCCCAGACUCCUACGGGAGGCAGCAGUGGGGAAUUUUGGACAAUGGGGGCAACCCUGAUCCAGCCAUGCCGCGUGCGGGAAGAAGGCCUUCGGGUUGUAAACCGCUUUUGUUCGGGAAGAAAUCCUCUGGGCUAAUACCCCGGGGGGAUGACGGUACCGGAAGAAUAAGCACCGGCUAACUACGUG